Molecule: ribosomal RNA, 467 nt
Filed under: uncultured bacterium
Lineage: Bacteria
Description: partial 16S ribosomal RNA
Rfam family: Bacterial small subunit ribosomal RNA
Source: RNAcentral
ACGAACGCUGGCGGCGUGCUUAACACAUGCCAGUCGAACGGAAAGGCCCUGCUUUUGUGGGGUGCUCGAGUGGCGAACGGGUGAGUAACACGUGAGUAACCUGCCCUUGACUUUGGGAUAACUUCAGGAAACUGGGGCUAAUACCGGAUAGGAGCUCCUGCUGCAUGGUGGGGGUUGGAAAGUUUCGGCGGUUGGGGAUGGACUCGCGGCUUAUCAGCUUGUUGGUGGGGUAGUGGCUUACCAAGGCUUUGACGGGUAGCCGGCCUGAGAGGGUGACCGGCCACAUUGGGACUGAGAUACGGCCCAGACUCCUACGGGAGGCAGCAGUGGGGAAUAUUGCACAAUGGGCGGAAGCCUGAUGCAGCAACGCCGCGUGCGGGAUGACGGCCUUCGGGCUGUAAACCGCUUUCGCCUGUGACGAAGCGUGAGUGACGGUAAUGGGUAAAGAAGCACCGGCUAACUACGUG